This 492-nucleotide ribosomal RNA is filed under the name uncultured bacterium. RNAcentral describes it as "partial 16S ribosomal RNA". It matches the Rfam family "Bacterial small subunit ribosomal RNA", at positions 29 to 507 of the family's 1533-position model. The record is from RNAcentral.
AGUGAACGCUGGCGGUAGGCCUAACACAUGCAAGUCGAACGGCAGCACAGUAAGAGCUUGCUCUUACGGGUGGCGAGUGGCGGACGGGUGAGGAAUACAUCGGAAUCUACUUUUUCGUGGGGGAUAACGUAGGGAAACUUACGCUAAUACCGCAUACGACCUACGGGUGAAAGCAGGGGAUCUUCGGACCUUGCGCGAUUGAAUGAGCCGAUGUCGGAUUGGCUAGUUGGCGGGGUAACGGCCCACCAAGGCGACGAUCCGUAGCUGGUCUGAGAGGAUGAUCAGCCACACUGGAACUGAGACACGGUCCAGACUCCUACGGGAGGCCGCAGUGGGGAAUAUUGGACAAUGGGCGCAAGCCUGAUCCAGCCAUACCGCGUGGGUGAAGAAGGCCUUCGGGUUGUAAAGCCCUUUUGUUGGGAAAGAAAAGCAGCAGGUUAAUCCCCCGCUGUUCUGACGGUACCUAAAGAAUAAGCACCGGCUAACUUCGUG